RNAcentral lists this ribosomal RNA (254 nucleotides) under uncultured bacterium. Its description in RNAcentral is "partial 16S ribosomal RNA". It matches the Rfam family "Bacterial small subunit ribosomal RNA", at positions 524 to 776 of the family's 1533-position model. The record is from RNAcentral.
UACGUAGGGAGCAAGCGUUGUCCGGAAUUAUUGGGCGUAAAGAGCUCGUAGGCGGUGUGUCACGUCGGCCGUGAAAACCUGGGGCUUAACUCUGGGCGUGCGGUCGAUACGGGCAUCACUAGAGUUCGGCAGGGGAGACUGGAAUUCCUGGUGUAGCGGUGAAAUGCGCAGAUAUCAGGAGGAACACCGGUGGCGAAGGCGGGUCUCUGGGCCGAUACUGACGCUGAGGAGCGAAAGCAUGGGUAGCGAACAGG